This 792-nucleotide ribosomal RNA is filed under the name uncultured bacterium. RNAcentral describes it as "bacterial SSU rRNA". It matches the Rfam family "Bacterial small subunit ribosomal RNA", at positions 8 to 795 of the family's 1533-position model. The record is from RNAcentral.
AGAGUUUGAUCCUGGCUCAGGAUGAACGCUAGCGGCAGGCUUAAUACAUGCAAGUCGAACGGGAUUCAGGGUAGCAAUACUUUGAUGAGAGUGGCGCACGGGUGCGUAACGCGUAUGCAACCUACCUUUAACAGGGGAAUAGCCCCGAGAAAUCGGGAUUAAUACUCCGUAACAUUGCGGGAUGGCAUCAUUCUGCAAUUAAAGAUUUAUCGGUUAAAGAUGGGCAUGCGUGACAUUAGCUUGUUGGUGAGGUAACGGCUCACCAAGGCAACGAUGUCUAGGGGUCCUGAGAGGGUUAUCCCCCACACUGGUACUGAGACACGGACCAGACUCCUACGGGAGGCAGCAGUAAGGAAUAUUGGUCAAUGGGCGCAAGCCUGAACCAGCCAUGCCGCGUGCAGGAAGACGGCCCUAUGGGUUGUAAACUGCUUUUGUCAGGGAAUAAACCUGUCUACGUGUAGACAGCUGAAGGUACCUGAAGAAUAAGCAUCGGCUAACUCCGUGCCAGCAGCCGCGGUAAUACGGAGGAUGCAAGCGUUAUCCGGAUUCAUUGGGUUUAAAGGGUGCGCAGGCGGAUUGUUAAGUCAGGGGUGAAAUCCUACAGCUCAACUGUAGAACUGCCCUUGAUACUGUCAGUCUAGAGUAUAGUUGAAGUGGGCGGAAUGUGUCAUGUAGCGGUGAAAUGCUUAGAUAUGACACAGAACACCGAUCGCGAAGGCAGCUCGCUAAGCUAUAACUGACGCUCAUGCACGAAAGCGUGGGGAUCAAACAGGAUUAGAUACCCUGGUAGUC